This 72-nucleotide transfer RNA is filed under the name Fervidicoccus fontis. RNAcentral describes it as "tRNA-Lys". Lineage: Archaea; Thermoproteati; Thermoproteota; Thermoprotei; Fervidicoccales; Fervidicoccaceae. The record is from RNAcentral.
UUCUCGGGGUAUCGGGUGAAGUCCGCCGAGGCUCUUAACCCGUAGGUCCCGGGUUCAAAUCCCGGCGGGCCC